Molecule: ribosomal RNA, 1011 nt
Filed under: Maribacter sp. USC139
Lineage: Bacteria; Pseudomonadati; Bacteroidota; Flavobacteriia; Flavobacteriales; Flavobacteriaceae
Description: bacterial SSU rRNA
Rfam family: Bacterial small subunit ribosomal RNA
Source: RNAcentral
CAUGCAAGUCGAGGGGCAGCAUUUCCAGCUUGCUGGAAGAUGGCGACCGGCGCACGGGUGCGCACCGCGUAUGGAACCUACCUUGUACAGGGGAAUAGCCCAGGGAAACUUGGAUUAAUGCCCCGUGGUACCGGCUAACAGCAUUGUUUACCGGUUAAAGCCUUCGGGCGGUACAAGAUGGCCAUGCGUCCCAUUAGCUCGAUGGUAGGGUAACGGCCUACCAUGGCUACGAUGGGUAGGGGCCCUGAGAGGGGGAUCCCCCACACUGGUACUGAGACACGGACCAGACUCCUACGGGAGGCAGCAGUGAGGAAUAUUGGACAAUGGAGGAGACUCUGAUCCAGCCAUGCCGCGUGCAGGAAGAAUGCCCUAUGGGUAGUAAACUGCUUUUAUACGGGAAGAAAAAGGGCCACGUGUGGCCUGUUGACGGUACCGUAAGAAUAAGGACCGGCUAACUCCGUGCCAGCAGCCGCGGUAAUACGGAGGGUCCGAGCGUUAUCCGGAAUUAUUGGGUUUAAAGGGUCCGUAGGCGGGCGUUUAAGUCAGUGGUGAAAGUCUGCAGCUCAACUGUAGAAUUGCCUUUGAUACUGAACGUCUUGAGUCAUGGUGAAGUUGGCGGAAUAUGUAGUGUAGCGGUGAAAUGCAUAGAUAUUACAUAGAACACCGAUUGCGAAGGCAGCUGACUAACCAUGUACUGACGCUGAUGGACGAAAGCGUGGGGAGCGAACAGGAUUAGAUACCCUGGUAGUCCACGCCGUAAACGAUGGAUACUAGCUGUCCGGGUCCUUGAGACCUGGGCGGCCAAGCGAAAGUGAUAAGUAUCCCACCUGGGGAGUACGUUCGCAAGAAUGAAACUCAAAGGAAUUGACGGGGGCCCGCACAAGCGGUGGAGCAUGUGGUUUAAUUCGAUGAUACGCGAGGAACCUUACCAGGGCUUAAAUGCAUUUUGACAGGGGUGGAGACACCUUUUCCUUCGGGCAAUUUGCAAGGUGCUGCAUGGUUGUCGUCAGC